RNAcentral lists this ribosomal RNA (124 nucleotides) under Saimiri boliviensis boliviensis (Bolivian squirrel monkey). The record is from RNAcentral. Lineage: Eukaryota; Metazoa; Chordata; Mammalia; Primates; Cebidae.
AGAGACUUCAAAACAGCUGUUAAAAAUAUGAUUAUCUCCUCUGAUCUUGGAAGCUAAGCAGGGUCGGGCCUGGUUAGUACUUGGAUGGGAGACCACCUGGGAAUACUGGGUGCUGUAGGCUUUA